AAAGUUAAGUAGUUUAAGUUGUGUGCAAGUGGUAGGAGAGCGUUCUAUUUGCGUCGAAGGUAUACCGGUAAGGAGUGCUGGAGCGAAUAGAAGUGAGCAUGCAGGCAUGAGUAGCGAUAAUUAAUGUGAGAAUCAUUAACGCCGUAAACCCAAGGUUUCCUACGCGAUGCUCGUCAUCGUAGGGUUAGUCGGGUCCUAAGUCGAGUCCGAAAGGGGUAGACGAUGGCAAAUUGGUUAAUAUUCCAAUACCAACAUUAGUGUGCGAUGGAAGGACGCUUAGGGCUAAGGGGGCUAGCGGAUGGAAGUGCUAGUCUAAGGUCGUAGGAGGUUAUACAGGCAAAUCCGUAUAACAAUACUCCGAGAACUGAAAGGCUUUUUGAAGUCUUCGGAUGGAUAGAAGAACCCCUGAUGCCGUCGAGCCAAGAAAAGUUUCUAAGUUUAGCUAAUGUUGCCCGUACCGUAAACCGACACAGGUGGGUGGGAUGAGUAUUCUAAGGCGCGUGGAAGAACUCUCUUUAAGGAACUCUGCAAAAUAGCACCGUAUCUUC
This 548-nucleotide ribosomal RNA is filed under the name Campylobacter jejuni. RNAcentral describes it as "partial 23S ribosomal RNA". It matches the Rfam family "Bacterial large subunit ribosomal RNA", at positions 1196 to 1737 of the family's 2925-position model. The record is from RNAcentral. Lineage: Bacteria; Pseudomonadati; Campylobacterota; Epsilonproteobacteria; Campylobacterales; Campylobacteraceae.